AGAAGAAUAACAGUGUAAUUCUCCUUUGGCAGAAGAACUGGGCAUCUCACUUUUGUCCCUUGUUUCUGCCAAAGGAGAAUUGCCCUGCCAUUCGCCC
Thalictrum thalictroides is the source of this 97-nucleotide non-coding RNA. NCBI's taxonomy places the organism in Eukaryota, Viridiplantae, Streptophyta, Magnoliopsida, Ranunculales, Ranunculaceae. The record is from the annotation of a GenBank genome assembly.